CUCAGUGCAGACCCAGGUCACUGAGCCUCAGCUUCCAUUGCAGUCACCCACCAUGAACCACCAUAGGCAGGAAUGGCAGCAACGGCAGCAGACACAUUCUAUGCUUAUGGUAAUAUUUUAUUCCCUUGCAAAUUAUGCUGUUUUAAUGUGCAUUUUAUACCAGACUUCCUUUAGUAAUGUUUUCUUUUGAAAUGGUCCAGAUAAUUGUUUUGGUUAACUUUGCUGUGUGUUCCGUAGCUUACCUCCUUUGUAAUGUUUUAUUUUGAAAUCUUUAAGAUAAUAUUUUCGUUUCCCGUUAUUUAUGUUGCUUUGCAUGUAUAACUUAUAUUUGACUUUCUUCGGUAACGUUUUAUUCUGGAUUGCUUUCUUUUGAUGUUUUGAUGUAGGUUGUAAACCGCUUUGAGGUUUUCCCCCCUUAAAAAUGCAAAGCGGUACAGAAAUGAAAUGAAUAAUAAGAAAAAUAAGCCGAAAGAAACAAAAUCAACUUAAAAAGCAUGACUGAAAUAUACGAUAAAACAGAGUCAUAAAAUUAAUAACUUUUUUUUUUAUAUAAAAGGAAAUCCAAAUUUAGUUUAAGGGAUCUGGAAAAUGCUUAUGUAAGGAGAGGUAUCUAAAAAAAUAUGUGAUUUUAUUAAAGCUUUGUAAACAUAGAAUACAAGAAGAUAAAAGAAACUAAUUUAAAUAAAUACAAAAACAGAGAAAGAUAAAAGAAAAUGCAGAGUGCUCUCUCUAAGGUAGCCCUUAACCCUUGUCACUCUUCAAGAGCCAGACAUGGAAUGCCAUUGCAGGUGCAGCUGCUUGAAUUUCAGCUGGGAAGGCAUUCCACAAAAAGGGUUAAAGGUAAAGGACCCCUGGACGGUAAAGUCUAGUCAAAGGCACUAUGGGGUUGCGGCACUCAUCUCGCUUUCAGGCCAAGGGAGCCAGCGUUUGUCCAGACAGCUUUCCAAGUCAUGUGGACAGCAUGACUAAACUGCUUCUGGCACAACGGAACACUGUGACGGAAACCAGAGCACAUGGAAAUGCUGUUUACCUUCCCACCAUGGUGGUAUCUAUUUAUCUACUUGAACUGGCAUUGCUUUCAAACUGCUAGGUUGGCAGGAGCUGGGACAGAGCAAUGGGAGCUCACUCCAUUGCACGGAUUCGAACCGCCAACCUUCCAAUCGGCAAGCCCAAGAGUCUCAGUGGUUUAGACCCAGCGCUACCUGCGUCCCUUUGGCAUUCCACAGACCCAGUACAAUCCAUGAAAAAGCCUGCCUUCAUCUAAGCACAAGCCAAUAACUAUCGGCCUUGCGACAAGGUUAGUCAGGUUCUUGUUAAUACAUGAUGCCUGUUACAGAGGAACUGGGUAGUCAGCCUCAACGAUCACACAACGUAGCCUAUGCAUGGACAGUGUGACUGCAAAUAGGUUUUUAAUUUCACCAAUGCUGUCAAAUAUGUUUAGUCAAUGGCCAGGUCCUGCGUGAUGUGUCGGUAGCUCCUGUAUCCUCACUUUCCAAACCUCGAGCAAAUGAAGAAGCUCCCGGUGUAGAUGGAAGAAGGGAAGUGGUGAGCGCCAGAGACGUCAACACAGCGCAGCACUUUUGCGAGCCUCUAUUCAGAUUAUUAAAAGACUGUGACUGUAUCUAUGGUAACAUAAAGAGGGAAGCUUUGGCUUUUCAAAAAUGUUCAAGGAUUUUUAAAAAAUGCAUUUUGUGUCAUAUUCUUUUUAAUUAAUAAUAAUAAAAAACCAGCACUGAUGUCAUAGUAGGUGACCUUGUAGUAUGAGCAGGUAGGUGGGAAGGAGAACGGAUGGCAGAUGGAACCAGAUCCAUCUAAAACGUGACUCUCAUACCAAUUGAACAUAUUGCAUAAGGCAGUUGGUGUGUCUGCCAUAUGACAGCCUCUAGUGGGAGUGGUAUGUGCAGUGUAAGGCUGUCCCCGAAACCCAAAAUUGUUCUAGACACCCGAGGACUUUAAGUGUGGUGUGUCACUCUCUUCGUUGCUGCUCUCAUCAACCGUUUUCUCUCCUGCCAGCUAACCCUUGAUCCAUUCCCGCUCACUCCCAUCUGUCUUAUGUGGCUUGGCGACCUGCUCCAGCUGCUCAGCCAGGCAGAUUAUUUCAUAGCAAUGACAGAGAUCAAGUAUGGAGGACAUCAAAAGUUUCAUUUAUCAGCCAGGGAUCAGAAGAACUCAGUCUAACUCUCUUUGUGCUCUUAUCAUUGCAGCCACAGUUUGGUGCCAUGGGAGUUGUUCUGUUGGGUUCUGAAACUGCUGGGAGCUGUUAUCGGCAGAUUUGGGGAGAAUUGUCACCGGGGUGCCAACUUGAAUAAAAUAUCGUGGAG
This is a non-coding RNA of Podarcis lilfordi (Lilford's wall lizard), 2321 nucleotides long. Lineage: Eukaryota; Metazoa; Chordata; Lepidosauria; Squamata; Lacertidae. The record is from the annotation of a GenBank genome assembly.